AACUUGGUAAGAAAGGACUAAUGGAGUAUGGGAAUCACAGCUUCACUUCAAAAGGACCAGAUAAUGCCUGUUCUCUGAACUACAGCAGAAGUACUGCCUGGGGCAGAUUCUUCAGGUUUUAGACAAAUUAUGACUAUUCAACACAUGAGUUGUGCUUCUUCCUUGGAGGAGCUACUUGGACAAACUACUCAUUCACCAUCUGAACCAAACAAGAGGGAGCUAGAGAAAUCACCAGGAUAACAGAUGGUAGGUAAAGUUUUCUGCAGAACAAGGCACUUCUUCAAUGAAGAGGGCAGGGAACUGAAGCCAUCUUUCUAUUCAACCCCCUACUCAUUUUCUUUCUCAAAUUCAGAAUCAGGAAAGAUAUCUUUCACUCUGAGACAUGAGACGUCACAAAAUAUGGUAUUGUCCUAGUUGUCAGGUGGGAUGGGAUUUAAAAAUGAAGGUUGCAAGAAAGAGAAAAUGCAAUCUAUUCAUUCAAAAAAAUCAAACAGUGACAAGAGAAGAAAUAAUUUGGAGUGUUUCCUCAGUUUUGUGUUCAAGUGCAGGCUUACUAACAGACUUGGUUACAGCACAAGCCACUUCCAGUACCCUCAAAGAACAGUUAGGUCAUUGCCUCAACUGUAGUUCAAGAGCUUCCAGAAGUUUCCACGGCAAUCUCAUUCUCCAAUCACUGUGUCAGCUACCUUCCCAGAACUCAAGAGGCUGUAGAAAUUGCCUGCUUCUACAGUUGGAUCCUACAUAAUUAACCUAUGCUGCUGAGAUUUCCUAAAUUUAAUACAGCUUACAAUAUGUACAGAAUCUUACCUUGCAAAGAACAAUAAGAAAAAACGACAAUGUUUACAGUAAAAUAAAUAGUUCCCAGAUGCUGCUCUCCAGCUGCCACUGCUAGCCAGUGUGUUUUCCAUACAAUCCUGUUUAUAGUCCUCAGUGUUCAGCCCCACAGACCCCCACCAAACCGUACAGUAUCACUCUCCUCACUUCAGGCAGUCCACGGUCCACAUUCCACCCCUGAUGAGUGCCAUUUUUUCAAGCAGCUCUAAAAUUGACUUUGUCCCAUGAACAACCCUACAAUUCAUUUCUCCCACCCUUUGAUUGCAAUCUCAGCAUAUUUUUUCUUCAGUUUAUGUACAACUCUGCAAAGUUCAGCAC
Gallus gallus (chicken) is the source of this 1152-nucleotide long non-coding RNA. NCBI's taxonomy places the organism in Eukaryota, Metazoa, Chordata, Aves, Galliformes, Phasianidae. The record is from Ensembl.